UUUAAAUAGCUGCAGUAUAUUAACUGUACAAAGGUAGCGUAGUAAUUAGUCUUUUAAUUGAGGUCUUGUAUGAAUGGUUUAACAAGAAGAAAACUUUAUUAAGUUAAUUUUAUUAAUUUUAUUUUUUAGUUAAAAAGCUAAAAUUUUUAAAUGGGACGAUAAGACCCUAUAGAUCUUUAAAUUUUUACUAUUUAAAUUAGUUUAAGGCUAUUUAAAUUUUAUUUGUAAAAAAUUUUUUGUUGGGGUGACAGAUAAAAUUUUCAAACUUUAAUAGUUAUUUACAUAGAUUUAUGGACAUUUGAACCUUAAUUUUGGGUUAUUAAAAUUAGAUACCUUAGGGAUAACAGCGUAAUAAAUUUGUAUAGUUCUUAUAGAUAAAUUUGUUUACGACCUCGAUGUUGAAUUAAUCUGAAGUUUUGGGGCAGAAAUUAAAAUUUUAGGUCUGUUCGACCUUUAAAAGAUUACA
This 466-nucleotide ribosomal RNA is filed under the name Unkanodes sapporona. Its description in RNAcentral is "partial 16S ribosomal RNA". The stretch from base 340 to 466 matches the Rfam family "Bacterial large subunit ribosomal RNA", at positions 2473 to 2600 of the family's 2925-position model. The record is from RNAcentral. Lineage: Eukaryota; Metazoa; Arthropoda; Insecta; Hemiptera; Delphacidae.